Molecule: ribosomal RNA, 1308 nt
Filed under: Lactiplantibacillus plantarum
Lineage: Bacteria; Bacillati; Bacillota; Bacilli; Lactobacillales; Lactobacillaceae
Description: bacterial SSU rRNA
Rfam family: Bacterial small subunit ribosomal RNA
Source: RNAcentral
CGAACUGGUGAGUAACACGUGGGAAACCUGCCCAGAAGCGGGGGAUAACACCUGGAAACAGAUGCUAAUACCGCAUAACAACUUGGACCGCAUGGUCCGAGCUUGAAAGAUGGCUUCGGCUAUCACUUUUGGAUGGUCCCGCGGCGUAUUAGCUAGAUGGUGGGGUAACGGCUCACCAUGGCAAUGAUACGUAGCCGACCUGAGAGGGUAAUCGGCCACAUUGGGACUGAGACACGGCCCAAACUCCUACGGGAGGCAGCAGUAGGGAAUCUUCCACAAUGGACGAAAGUCUGAUGGAGCAACGCCGCGUGAGUGAAGAAGGGUUUCGGCUCGUAAAACUCUGUUGUUAAAGAAGAACAUAUCUGAGAGUAACUGUUCAGGUAUUGACGGUAUUUAACCAGAAAGCCACGGCUAACUACGUGCCAGCAGCCGCGGUAAUACGUAGGUGGCAAGCGUUGUCCGGAUUUAUUGGGCGUAAAGCGAGCGCAGGCGGUUUUUUAAGUCUGAUGUGAAAGCCUUCGGCUCAACCGAAGAAGUGCAUCGGAAACUGGGAAACUUGAGUGCAGAAGAGGACAGUGGAACUCCAUGUGUAGCGGUGAAAUGCGUAGAUAUAUGGAAGAACACCAGUGGCGAAGGCGGCUGUCUGGUCUGUAACUGACGCUGAGGCUCGAAAGUAUGGGUAGCAAACAGGAUUAGAUACCCUGGUAGUCCAUACCGUAAACGAUGAAUGCUAAGUGUUGGAGGGUUUCCGCCCUUCAGUGCUGCAGCUAACGCAUUAAGCAUUCCGCCUGGGGAGUACGGCCGCAAGGCUGAAACUCAAAGGAAUUGACGGGGGCCCGCACAAGCGGUGGAGCAUGUGGUUUAAUUCGAAGCUACGCGAAGAACCUUACCAGGUCUUGACAUACUAUGCAAAUCUAAGAGAUUAGACGUUCCCUUCGGGGACAUGGAUACAGGUGGUGCAUGGUUGUCGUCAGCUCGUGUCGUGAGAUGUUGGGUUAAGUCCCGCAACGAGCGCAACCCUUAUUAUCAGUUGCCAGCAUUAAGUUGGGCACUCUGGUGAGACUGCCGGUGACAAACCGGAGGAAGGUGGGGAUGACGUCAAAUCAUCAUGCCCCUUAUGACCUGGGCUACACACGUGCUACAAUGGAUGGUACAACGAGUUGCGAACUCGCGAGAGUAAGCUAAUCUCUUAAAGCCAUUCUCAGUUCGGAUUGUAGGCUGCAACUCGCCUACAUGAAGUCGGAAUCGCUAGUAAUCGCGGAUCAGCAUGCCGCGGUGAAUACGUUCCCGGGCCUUGUACACACCGCC